Molecule: ribosomal RNA, 197 nt
Filed under: uncultured bacterium
Lineage: Bacteria
Description: partial 16S ribosomal RNA
Rfam family: Bacterial small subunit ribosomal RNA
Source: RNAcentral
UCCUACGGGAGGCAGCAGUGAGGAAUAUUGGACAAUGGAGGCAACCCUGAUCCAGCAAUGCCGCGUGUGUGAAGAAGGCCUGCGGGUUGUAAAGCACUUUCAAUUGGGAAGAAGAGGGGUUGGAUAAUACCCGACCUUCUUGACGUUACCUUUAGAAGAAGCACCGGCUAACUCCGUGCCAGCAGCCGCGGUAAUAC